Molecule: long non-coding RNA, 637 nt
Filed under: Olea europaea subsp. europaea
Lineage: Eukaryota; Viridiplantae; Streptophyta; Magnoliopsida; Lamiales; Oleaceae
Source: RNAcentral
CGCCAGUUUUUUUUUUUUUUUUUAAACGAGCUCUGGCGGGUGAGCAAUUUGAACCACCGUCCAUUCCUUCUCCAAUUUCAACCAACGCUUUUGUGAGAUGGUUUGCCUUGCCUUCUAAUAGUUGAAGCUAUCAACAGUUUGCUGUGAAUUUGUUCCCAAUAAGUUUAUUUUGGGGUAAUUUUUUUUUGGGUAUUGCAAGAAGCAUCGAUGAAAAGGACAAAGUUUCGUUGGACGACGAAUCCGAGGGCUGUGACGAACAAACAAAACUGAAAGUGGGUUACUGAGUUUCUUGGAACUUUUGGAGGUAAAUGAUAAAUGGUGAAUGGUGAAAUUUGAGGGGUAUUCUGGGCUUGAAAUCAGAAUAAUCAAAAAAUAAAUUGGUUGGAUUUUGGAUUGAGCCUUUUGCGCAUUUUAUUUGUUGAAUUCUCAAUUUUGGUUUUGUAGAUUGAAGCAGAAAUAUUUAGGAAGAGAAUGGGAGACUAUUUCAGAUCGUAGGAGUCGGACAAGUGGCCGGCCGAAUUAGACCAAGGCCAUUAGGUAGGAUCGUAGCAUAGAUUUUGAAAAGUAAAUUUUGAAAAGAAAAAAAAGUUGCACUGCCGCUCGUCGGAAACGCAAAUCAAUGGAUAGUUUGUUUAGG